AAAGAGGGAUGAUGAGCAAAUCCUGCAUCACGGUGCACGGCACAGAAUUGGAGCCGAGGGAUGUGUGCUCUAGCCUGGGAGGCAUCUGCAUGGCCCAGGAGAAAGCAACGCGGAACCUUACCUGGACCUCCUCCAUCCCCGGGUGCCCGAUGCCGUGCAGGGCAAGGCUGUCCCCCAUCCCGGAGUCAAGGCCAUGUCCUGAAACUCAAAAUCACCAACCCAUCUUCGCUUGGAAAAGACCAAAAAGAAAGUUGCACUUCUCGGAGGACCCCGAGGGAAAGUUGCGUGAAAAAAACA
This is a long non-coding RNA of Strigops habroptila (Kakapo), 297 nucleotides long. RefSeq lists it as uncharacterized. The record is from RefSeq and is a predicted model, not a curated record. The transcript is spliced from 3 exons. Lineage: Eukaryota; Metazoa; Chordata; Aves; Psittaciformes; Psittacidae.